RNAcentral lists this ribosomal RNA (317 nucleotides) under uncultured bacterium. RNAcentral describes it as "bacterial SSU rRNA". It matches the Rfam family "Bacterial small subunit ribosomal RNA", at positions 30 to 346 of the family's 1533-position model. The record is from RNAcentral.
AUUGAACGCUGGCGGCAGGCCUAACACAUGCAAGUCGAGCGCGAAAAUUCCUUCGGGGAUGAGUAGAGCGGCGGACGGGUGAGUAAUGCGCAGAAAUCUGCCCAGGUAGUGGGGGACAACCUGGUGAAAACCAGGCUAAUACCGCAUACGCCCUACGGGGGAAAGCAGGGGAUCGUUCGGACCUUGCGCUAUUGGAUGAGUCUGCGUCGGAUUAGCUUGUUGGUGAGGUAAUGGCUCACCAAGGCGACGAUCCGUAGCUGGUCUGAGAGGAUGAUCAGCCACACUGGGACUGAGACACGGCCCAGACUCCUACGGGA